UUACAUUUUUGCCCUUAUUCAUAUCAUCUUCUUUGUAGAGAAGAGAAAAUCGAAAGAAACUAAAUUUGAAAGGGAGAAAAUAUUGGCAGAGAGAAUCGAGAGACGAAGAGAAAGAAAGAGGUAGAUCGAGUGAAAUAGUGCCAGAUCGAGUUUGUUUAUGUGUUUCUAGAGAUGAUCACGUAUUGUUGAAGGAAGAAGAACUCGAAUCUCAGAGAUGUUGGAUUUUUUUCAUCAUAAAAGUUGCGAAAGGUUCUCAAAUUAAGAUUGCAGUGAUUCAAAACGAAAGCAUACAACUAAUGGUGCAAAGGUGGAGAGAUUAGACCCCAAGAGGAAGAAAACUAGAUUUGAUUGUGAAUGGAAGUUCUUUUGCUACUACUACAUCAACACCAGAAAAGAUAUCCACAUGAACCAAUAUCAGGAGGAGCAGGGAAAGUGUGGCUUGCAAAACAAUAACUCCAAAGGCUGCUACUUCAUCAUCUGCAACUGUUAGAAAGAGCUGCUAGCAAGCCAAAAGGGAAACAAGGCAAGCCUAAGACAACUGCAACUAGUGUGAAUGUGGGAAAACACUAGCACUACUCUGUUAGUUCUUUAUAUGUAAACAUUUGAGGGCAUAUACACUACUAAAUUUAAAAGUUUAAGACGAUGUUUUAUAUUAAAACAAUCUUUGUUCCUCUUUCAAUUCCAGCCUACAUUCUAAUUUCAAA
Long non-coding RNA from Papaver somniferum (opium poppy), 704 nucleotides. RefSeq lists it as uncharacterized. The transcript is spliced from 2 exons. The record is from RefSeq and is a predicted model, not a curated record. Lineage: Eukaryota; Viridiplantae; Streptophyta; Magnoliopsida; Ranunculales; Papaveraceae.